UCAAGGCACCCUCUUUGGCUCAAAGCUCCGGCUUCAGAACUUGUGGGUAAGUUUUCCCACGAUCCCUAGGAGCGCCUGCCCCACCUCCCCACCCCUAUUCACAGGUCUGCAUCUAUUAUGAUGGAAAUUAUCAGGAUUAAUGUGAUUAUCUGAGAAGUGCCUUUGAGAGUGGGGGUGAGACUGGUGUUAUGAUCUACUGCAGUAUUUCUUUGCACAAGACAAGCCCCUGUGUCUUUCAAGUGUUCUGACUUAAUGACAGGGUAUCCCACCAAAUGUCAGGAGUGACAGACACCUCAGGAGCGCAUUUUUCACAUGGAGUUUUAAGUUUAGCAGUACUAAGGGUGGAGUAGAAUUCUUAUAUUUGGUGUGUUACACGGUGGAACAGUUUCUGAGAGUAUGAAAUCUUUAAAAAGCCUUUACCUCCUGAUUUCUGGAAUUUUCUUUGGUGCUUAGCAUCCAAUUAAUCUAAGUCCCUCCAAAGAAAAGCACAUGCAAACAGAAUCUUUGAGGCUUGGGCCCGACGCGCCUUCCUUGCAGUGGUACCACGGCAGGAGUGGUGAGAGUGCUGAGAGACACUUGGCUCCUGGCUUUCCCCUCUGAGAGUCAGACAUGAUAUGAAGAAGGAACAUAAAGAACAAAGAGCCAGAGAAGAGGGGGUUUGUUACAUCUGGAGAGCUGCAGUGGGGACCCAGGCAUCCCUGUGCACACUCCAAAGCCCCCGUUCCUUUGUCUUUCCAAUGCAUGUGUGGAUAUGGAAAUCCCAUCCUAGUGUGUUCAGCAACCCUACCUCACCAGCUCACCUCAGCCAUGAGUGUUCCCAUCAGUCGGCCUGGGGUUACACAUGACUCAGCCCCUAGCUCAGGGCUCGCAGGCUGCAACAACACUGGAUCCAGCUGUGUCCAGCUUUGUGAGAUUCCAAGUUGGGUAACCCAUGUUAGCUAAAAGCAUGAAAGUGCUUUUUUAAAUCCCUCUCAGGUCAGAGAUUGAAGUGUUCGUUGUAGGUCUGUCUUGAGUGAUAUACUCUCCCCCAGUCUUGAAUGUGGUGGCCUUAGGAGCCCAAGAGAACCCCAGACGCUCAAAACACCGUCCCCACUCACUCACUGUUUUCUACAGUGUGGGCCCAAGAGCCUUCACUUUUACCACCUUAACCCAAAGCAUUAGAAAGAUCUGUUCAAGACACCUUUCUUAACCAAAUCAGAUAGUUUGUUGUUUCUUAGAGACUUGCCUUCCUGCCCAGAGGUAGAAUCCAGGGCCCUGGGCAUGCUGAGAAGCACAGGUAGACUGAGCUAUGUUCCCAGCACACCUCCCGUGCUCACACCUUAAACUUUUGUAUGGAUUUAUUCUUUAACCUUUUUUUAGUAAAUUGUCUAAGGCUGCACUUUCAGUCCUCCUGCUGGAAUUACAGGCCUGGCCUGGAGAAUUUUUUUGAUGUUAACAAAGAUGAAGGGUAAAAGUGAAGGAGCUGCUCCGGGCAUGAACACUAGGUCAAGUUCAAAGGCUCAUAAAAGCUCUUCUCAGUUCGAUUUGCUGGUACCCAGCAAUAUGCUCAUAAUAAGAAAAGACAUACUUAAACUUGCCUCAUGCAGUGCACAGUCUGCAUGAUUUCCUUACCACUGAGCUACUGUUUGCCCUGGUAGGAGGCUUUCAGAGUAACUGAAGUCUAGCUCAUUGAGCAUACUGUUGAACUGAAAUGGGAGUGGUGUCCUGCUCAGAUAUUUGAGGGUGAGACUCCCUGUGUUACUUCUCAUGACCCUGAGAAGGUUAGGGUUCGGGUUGGAUGCAGUAAAAAGUAUGUUAAAAUCCCAGCACAGGGCUUGUGAGGUUGGGGCAAGGAGCAAGCCAGGAGACCAUGAUGUCCACAUGUCCUGAGAUCAUGGGGUCAAGACUAGAGUUGCCGAUGUUCACAGCUGCUAGAAGUUGAGCAAAUGAGGGGUGGGAACUGACUUUUCCCCAGAGGAGACAGUGUUGAUGUUCAUAUGAGCAGUUCUAGCAAAUGGCAAGGGAGAGUAAAAUACGGUAGAAAUUAACAAAGCCACGCGAAGAACUCACAGUGUAUGUAAGGCAGGAAAAGACCCCAUGUAUUCCCUGUAAGAUCAGAGCAAGGCAGGGUGCCCAUUUUCAGGUCUAUUCAACCUGAAGCUGAGAUUUCAAGCCUGAGCAAUUAGGGAAGAGAGAGAAACAAAAGGCAACAAAAUCGG
This 2198-nucleotide long non-coding RNA is filed under the name Mus musculus (house mouse). Its description in RNAcentral is "long non-coding RNA chr10:42834504-42836702". Lineage: Eukaryota; Metazoa; Chordata; Mammalia; Rodentia; Muridae. The record is from RNAcentral.